ACCAUGGUUGUAACGGGUAACGGGGAAUCAGGGUUCGAUUCCGGAGAGGGAGCAUGAGAAAUGGCUACCACAUCUACGGAAGGCAGCAGGCGCGCAAAUUACCCACUCCUAGAACGGGGAGGUAGUGACGAAAAAUAACAAUACCGGACUCUAUGAGGCUCGGUAAUUGAAAUGAGUACAGUUUAAAACCCUUAACGAGGAUCUAUUGGAGGGCAAGUCUGGUGCCAGCAGCCGCGGUAAUUCCAGCUCCAAUAGCGUAUAUUAAAGUUGUUGCAGUUAAAAAGCUCGUAGUUGGAUCUCGGGAACUAGCAUGUGGUACGCUUUACUGCUGUUACUACAUGUCUGGUCCUAAUCAAUCGGUUGGCUGUUAAUGCCCUUUACUGGGUGUUUUCAGUAGCCGGUACGUUUACUUUGAGAAAAUUAGAGUGCUUAAAGCAGGCCAUACGCCUGAAUAAUGUUGCAUGGAAUAAUAGAAUAGGACCUCGGUUCUAUUUUGUUGGUUUUGUAGAGCAUUGAGGUAAUGAUUAAUAGGGACAGACGGGGGCAUUCGUAUUGCGGUGUUAGAGGUGAAAUUCUUGGAUCGCCGCAAGACGAACAACUGCGAAAGCAUUUGCCAAGAAUGUUUUCAUUAAUCAAGAACGAAAGUUGGAGGUUCGAAGACGAUUAGAUACCGUCCUAGUUCCAACCAUAAACGAUGCCAACUAGCGAUUAGCUGCUGUUAAUUAGACGACACAGCUAGCAGCUUCCGGGAAACCAAAGUUUUUGGGUUCCGGGGGAAGUAUGGUUGCAAAGCUGAAACUUAAAGGAAUUGACGGAAGGGCACCACAAGCCGUGGAGCCUGCGGCUUAAUUCGACCCAACACGGGAAAUCUCACCCGGCCCGGACACUGUAAGGUUUGACAGAUUGAGAGCUCUUUCUUGAUUCGGUGGGUGGUGGUGCAUGGCCGUUCUUAGUUGGUGGAGCGAUUUGUCUGGUUAAUUCCGAUAACGAACGAGACUCUAGCCUACUAAAUAGUACGCCGAUCUUUAGUCGGCGCGUACUUCUUAGAGGGACAAGUGGCGGUAAGCCACAUGAAAUUGAGCAAUAACAGGUCUGUGAUGCCCUUAGAUGUUCGGGGCCGCACGCGCGCUACACUGGAGGGAUAAGCGUGUUUUUCCUGCUCCGAAAGGAGUGGGUAACCCGCUGAAACCCCUUCGUGAUUGGGAUCGGAGCUUGAAAUUAUUCUCCGUGAACGAGGAAUGGCUAGUAAGCGCGAGUCAUAAGCUCGCGUUGAUUAGGUCCCUGCCCUUUGUACACACCGCCCGUCGCUACUACCGAUUGAAUGGUUUAGUGAGAUCCUCGGAUUGGACCGGAGGUGGCGCAAGUUGCCUCUAGGUUCCGAGAAGACGAUCAAACUUGAUCAUUUAGAGGAAGUAAAAGUCGUAACAAGGUU
RNAcentral lists this ribosomal RNA (1432 nucleotides) under metagenome. RNAcentral's name for it is "SSU rRNA". It matches the Rfam family "Eukaryotic small subunit ribosomal RNA", at positions 343 to 1801 of the family's 1831-position model. The record is from RNAcentral.